UACGGAUGGUGCAAGCGUUAUCCGGAUUUACUGGGUUUAAAGGGUGCGUAGGUGGAUUGGGUAGUCAGUGGUGAAAUACUACAGCGCAACUGUGGAACUGCCAUUGAUACUCUCAAUCUUGAAUGCAGUGGAGGCAGGCGGAAUGUGUCAUGUAGCGGUGAAAUGCUUAGAUAUGACACAGAACACCUAUUGCGAAGGCAGCUUGCUACACUGUGAUUGACACUGAGGCACGAAAGCGUGGGGAUCAAACAGG
Molecule: ribosomal RNA, 253 nt
Filed under: uncultured bacterium
Lineage: Bacteria
Description: partial 16S ribosomal RNA
Rfam family: Bacterial small subunit ribosomal RNA
Source: RNAcentral